AAGUGGCUCAGCGGUAGAGCAUCGCCUUGCCAAGGCGAGGGUCGCGGGUUCGAUUCCCGUCUU
This 63-nucleotide transfer RNA is filed under the name Paenibacillus oryzae. It matches the Rfam family "tRNA", at positions 5 to 66 of the family's 71-position model. From Rfam's summary of the family: Transfer RNA (tRNA) molecules are approximately 80 nucleotides in length. Their secondary structure includes four short double-helical elements and three loops (D, anti-codon, and T loops). Further hydrogen bonds mediate the characteristic L-shaped molecular structure. tRNAs have two regions of fundamental functional importance: the anti-codon, which is responsible for specific mRNA codon recognition, and the 3' end, to which the tRNAs corresponding amino acid is attached (by aminoacyl-tRNA synthetases). tRNAs cope with the degeneracy of the genetic code in two manners: having more than one tRNA (with a specific anti-codon) for a particular amino acid; and 'wobble' base-pairing, i.e. permitting non-standard base-pairing at the 3rd anti-codon position. The record is from Rfam by way of RNAcentral. Lineage: Bacteria; Bacillati; Bacillota; Bacilli; Caryophanales; Paenibacillaceae.